UGGGGAAUUUUGGACAAUGGGCGCAAGCCUGAUCCAGCCAUGCCGCGUGCGGGAAGAAGGCCUUCGGGUUGUAAACCGCUUUUGUCAGGGAAGAAAUCUUCUGAGUUAAUACCUCGGGAGGAUGACGGUACCUGAAGAAUAAGCACCGGCUAACUACGUGCCAGCAGCCGCGGUAAUACGUAGGGUGCAAGCGUUAAUCGGAAUUACUGGGCGUAAAGCGUGCGCAGGCGGUUUUGUAAGACAGAGGUGAAAUCCCCGGGCUCAACCUGGGAACUGCCUUUGUGACUGCAAGGCUUGAGUGCGGCAGAGGGGGGAUGGAAUUCCGCGUGUAGCAGUGAAAUGCGUAGAUAUGCGGAGGAACACCGAUGGCGAAGGCAAUCCCCUGGGCCUGCACUGACGCUCAUGCACGAAAGCGUGGGGAGCAAACAGGAUUAGAUACCCUGGUAGUCCACGCCCUAAACGAUGUCAACUGGUUGUUGGGAAGGUUCCUUCUCAGUAACGUAGCUAACGCGUGAAGUUGACCGCCUGGGGAGUACGGCCGCAAGGUUGAAACUUAAAUGAAUUGACGGGGUCAUAGCUG
RNAcentral lists this ribosomal RNA (580 nucleotides) under uncultured bacterium. RNAcentral's name for it is "partial 16S ribosomal RNA". It matches the Rfam family "Bacterial small subunit ribosomal RNA", at positions 355 to 932 of the family's 1533-position model. The record is from RNAcentral.